This 828-nucleotide long non-coding RNA is filed under the name Salvator merianae (Argentine black and white tegu). RNAcentral describes it as "lncRNA (ENSSMRG00000013769.1)". Lineage: Eukaryota; Metazoa; Chordata; Lepidosauria; Squamata; Teiidae. The record is from RNAcentral.
GGUUAAGAGAAAAUCGCUGCCGGACGCGAGAAACAGUGCAACCUCUCCCAGGCGCUGCUGGAGGGAAAACGUCAUACGCAAUGCCCCUGAGCCCGCGAAAGGAAGACAGCGGGGCUUAAACCUGCCCUACCUUCGUAUCUCGGGGCUACUAAUUCCCCCCGCAAAGUUUCCUAUCCCCAAUGAAGCGGAAGGGAGGACCGACCGCUGGCUGUUGGAACAGGGGCAGGCGUCUCGGAGCCAAAGAAAGCUCGCUGCCUUGGCAGAAUCAUCUCCGUUGGGACAAAGCUCUUUAGAUCGAUACCCCUGAUCAAAAGACCAAAGAAGCAACCAUCAUCAAGAAAUGGAGGGUUUUUUUUCUCCAUACUAAGGCUCCUCUGUCACUUCCCAGCUUUACAUCCCGUCCUCUGUUAAAAACAGGGGCAGGUAGGGAGCGACCACAGGAAACCUGUUCCAAAGCCCUGCAGAUACCUCGGCAAGCCGCAGAAUCGAAGGAGGGACAGGGGGCACUGUCUGAACAGCGCACGGGAAAUGGGGUACAGCUGAAAUCAGGGUGGUGGUGGUGGUGGGCGCACCGGCAGAAAACCAGUGCCAGGAUGCUUCUGGCGAAAGAAGGAAGAGGCUUAUGUGUGUGUGAACAGAACGCUGCCACUGCAUCCUUCGCUUUUCCCAGCACCACCGGGUGGCACCGUGGGGGUGCAGCAAGGGUUGAGUGGGAAAAUGCACCCUCUUUUUUUCACAACCCACCCUCUCUCUCUUUCCUCCCUCCUGCUUGGCUCCUGCCCACCCCCACGCCAGGGCAAUCUUGAAAAAGACAAAUAAACGCCGCGA